CGUUCCCCGCCCUCCCUUUCGCACGAUCGCACGAAGUUAAAAAAACUACCCCUCGCGACCUGGUUACACCUCCCCUCGCAACCUUCCUUCGCGCAAUUAAAAUAAAUAAAAAAACAGGACCCACGUCCCGUCUCCCAGUCUCCCCACCUCUCUCCCGAUCCAUCCUCUCUCUCGAUCUCGUGAGGAGAAUCGCGGCCGCCGCCUCUGCCCCGAUGCUCGUCGCGGUCGCUGUGGCACAGCCCAUGCAAGCCGCCCUUGUACGGCCUCCUCUCCUUCGCCACCGCAACAACCGUCGCUUCCAUGGACUACAUCGGCGGUGUCUUAGGAGGUUGACCCCUGUGGGGAAGCUAGCGGGAGCUCGCGGCCAACCAGAUCCAGUGCAGCGCCACCGAUGUCUGGGUGGAAGACGAGCGCUAGCUUCCUGGGUUAGCAUACCACCGGGCAGGAGGGCAGACGGAUGAGGGAGGCUCUCCAAGGAGGAAGCCGACCAACUUGUCACUAGGGGAAGCCGACCAGCAUAUAUAGGCAUGGUUGUCAUUGACAGAGAUUGGGUGGACUAUCUUUGAGAUCCUGCGGUACAUGUGAGCAUAACUGGUCGGCGUACGAGGAGGCCCUCAAGGCCAAUCCGGUUCUUGCCAAGAUGAUGGUCAGCGGCGGCUUCUACUCCCUCGGCGACUGGAUAGCCCAGGGUGCUCGAGCGCGACGACACGCCUACUGAGUUCCUAGCGCUCGGGAAUGCCAGAGUUGGACGCGCCCAUGCAUGCAUUUUAGCUCUGAGGAUGGCAUCGAGAACGUACACACUCAGGUGCUCCUCAGCAGCAGUUGAUCCAUGUGGGGUUCUAUUUGAGUUCCUUCGUCCCCUGGCAGCGAGGCAGCAAGUCCCCGUCCCCCCUCUCCGUCUCCGGCAUGUUGAUCCGGUUGCGUCACAGCGGUGGCGUGUGUGGUGUCAUGUCAUAAUAAGGUAGCAUCUUUUCUUUCCCCACCCUAAUUUUUGUGGUCAGCGUCCGGAGCCCAACCUACCAAUCGUUGUCCCCAAACCUCACCGACUUCUUCUGUGGGUGCUCUUUAUCCCCCCUCUCUCAUUUCACUUGACGCUGAUAGCUGAUUGCUAUCAUCCUCAAUUGUGCUCUUGUCUUCUAAAUUUGGCAUGGUAUGCAUUUGCUUGAGAUGAGGGUAUGGGAUGGAGGUGGCUCUAAUUUCGAGGCUGUGGUUUAUUGGGCUUAUAAUUUCGACAUGAUUAAUGAUAUGAACCGUAUGUUCUAUUUUCCAUAAUAUAGCUUUUUUCUAUGCAAUAUGAGGCUACGUUUCAAGUUAUUAUUAUCUAUUGCUUGCAUUCGAUGGCUGUACAGUAACAUGCUCUCUGAGAAAAGGUUAUGUUUCAUGUUAUCAUUAUCUAUUGCUUUGCAUUCGAUGGCAAAUAGACAACCGAUGUGUCAUAUCUUUGCCCACUCAGGAUGCCGAUAAAUAGGUCAAAAAAAAUAGAAAGACUUAUAUAUUUCACUAUGCUAGCUACAUAUGUUUAUGAUGGUUUAUUUUCACCAAAAUUUUGUUGAACUUCCACAGUUGAGAGAAGCUGAGCAACACACAGUUCCAAAAUUGUGCACUGCACAAGGAAGUAACCAUUGUAGUAUUAGCUAUUGUAAUCUACGAAAUUUCGUACUACGUGAAUAAGAUUAAGAAUGGCCAACUGAUUGAACUUGUUCACAACAUUAACAGUAGUCAUGAUAAACUUAUUAUUCCUGACUUUCUAUGUCUUGUUGUUUUCUACUGUAGACCUAUUUGCAGGUUUUUAUAGAAGAAUUAGUUUACGUGUUACUGGUUCACUUGCUACAGCUGAAACAUAUUUUGAUGUUAUUGUUAUUGACUGGAGCACACUAAUCCUAAUCUAAGAGGUCAUUUCUCUCACUUAUUUGCUGGAGGAGUUAGAAAGAAGAUAUUUUUUAUGACUACUGUGUUUUCUUUCCAGAAAAUCUGCAUGACGCGGCGUAAAAUCUGUACUUGUUCUCAGCAUGUUACUAGGAUCUAGCUGAACAAAAUGGAUUUUUGAUGUCCUGCAUGGAGUUCUCAAUAAGUUAUUCCUUGUCAUUUUUAGUGCCACCAAUGCAUGGGGUCUUUGUAUAUUAAAACUUUUCAUGUCUCUGUCUUGGCUCAUGUAAUACUUACCGAUACGAUUUACUUGUUCAUCAGAAUAAUGUGUUGAUUCCUUAACACAGCAUAAGCUUUUUUUCAAGAUCAUUCCAGGAGAUACACUUGCAUCUUUUAUCUACGUGAUGUGCCUUGUGAACUUAUGAAACGAAUGUGACCAAGGCUCCAACAAAUCAUCAUCACUAAAUGCUACAGAAGGAAAUGAUCUAUGCCAUCUGUUUUAUCUAGAGAGAUCAUGGUGUGAAGGGACUCAAUGUAGGGUAUUGGUACUAAGUGCUUGUUGCUAUAACAUACUUCUUUUGUUUUCUAAUAGAGAAAUAAAUGAGUUCUUUCGGCCCAACAAAAGAAAACAUAUAGUAUCUUCAAGGAAGUAGCCUUUUGAGUCAACAAAUUAUUCCCACCAUGCCAAAACUGAAUCCAUGGUAGUUUAGCAUACUCGAAUACUGUGAUACAAGUAGGAGUAUCAAAUACAAGAAAUUUCUUUCUUUAUGCGCACAUUCCCAGAAGCAUGAGUGUAUGUUCAUGGAGAAAACAUGGUCAAUUUUUGUGUAAAAAACUGAUAAUGUUCAAUACAUGUUUAGCAUGGGCAGCCAGAUGUUCUUGUGAAUUACUAAGCAUAUGGAUAAUUCAUCUCUUAAACAUUGCAAUCUUGCCUCCGAUCUUUCUGUUUGCUUCGCCAGACAAAACCUGGUAGCAAUGGGUUGGCCAGUGGGACAAAUAGGAAAAGAGAACUGAGAAGUGCCAAGUGGUCUGCUUUGAGAUAGGGGAAUUCAAAGUGCAUUUGUGGUUAUUGUUUCUGCAUUAUGCUUGUAUUCACAAAUUGUUCGGAAAAAAUGGAAGCAACUGUGUAAUAAUCAAGCAGAUCAUCAAGGAACGAAUAGCUAAGCAGAAUUACUUCCGCUUUUAUUUGCAUAUGAUGCCAAUAGCUUUACUUGAAACACAUUUGAAGUUGAAGUGAUAUCUUGUUGUUUUGGGGUAUUAUGUGACUAAUUUUCGUACACAUGUGAAAGAAACUUGAAUUACGUGAGGCAAAUGCAUGUAUAGGGGAAGAAAGUGUAAGGUGAUGUUUUUGAAAUGCAGUGAUAAUUGCAUGGCACUCAUUCUUGAAGUUACAAUGACGUUUUAAUCAAUGUCUCAAUAUACAUGUUUGUUGAGCCUAUAAAUCUUCACAAAAUAAUUGAAAUUAAUGUAGCUUGUGCAAAAAUAAGAGGUUGAAUACAUAUCUCAUUAUUGUUAUUAUUAACCUUUUGAAAUGCUAACGAAGAUCCAGAUAUGCAUACAUGAUUCUCCGGAUGAUUUUUUGUAGCCUGCACCAGGAGUGCCCAAGAGCAAAAAGGAAUACUAGAGAUGUCAGGCCUGAAUGUUGGUAUGGGAUCUGCUCGUGGUGCUCAACUGGAUGCAGGAUUUGCGAAGCUUCAAGGCAAAGACUUCCAGUACAUCAUGCAAUCUUAUGAAAUCAUCGUGAGAUGCAAUUCCAAGAAAGGAAAGGUAGACUUUGAUCUUAGCGCCGUUGGCGGAGAUAGGGAUGUUUCCCGCCUCCAUGCACGCAUCUUCUAUGAUUUUCAACACCGCUCGUUUUCCCUUGAGGUUCUGGGCCAACAUGGAUGCUAUGUUCAGAGGGUCCUUCACCGCCCAAGUGAUGAUCCCGUUAAACUGAAGUCCCAGGAUCUCAUUCAGAUGGGACAAACACGAUUCUACUUUCUCCUACCAGCUCGCCCCAUCUUUGCAUCCUUUGCUGCUGAGGGAACUCCACACUCCUCUAAUUUUCAUGGCCAAUCCGUUCAUAUUGGUUCUGCCACAGCUUCUCCUCGGCAAACUCAUAUUCCAUCAUAACACAUGUCUUCAUCCAGCAAGCGCCCUUCCCAUUCUGAUUUUUCUGCUUCUCGUAACAAUGGUUAUGGCGGGGCCAAUUGUGGCAAUGGAAUUAAUGUUGGCACUGGAACUCAAGGACUGUUUACGGUGCCAAUCAAGAUGUCUUCUGUUGAACUGAAGACCGGGCCUAUCAACGUUGAACGUGCUUACUAAAAAGUUCACUGCGAUAUGGCCCUAUGGCAAUGCCCAAAAGUACCUGGCACCAGAGGAUGGCUCCUCAACCAGAACAGCAGCGAGGCCAUGGCACAGGCUAUUGGAGCUGCUCAAGAAUCACCCGGAGAGGUUUAUCAUGAGUUCAAUCUCUAGAGGCACAAUAACAUUAGAGUUUGUUUCGCUGGUCAGCUUGGCUGAUAAGUUUUGCUCCCCUGAGGUUGAUCAGGUCACUGCCAGGUUCGUGUCCAAAAAAUAAAAAUGGAGAUUUCUCUUUGUUUGUGUCAUCAGCUCAUGUUGUAAGCCUGUCACCUCAGAGAUUUCUAUUUGUUUGUAUCUUCAGCUCAUUGUAAUCCUGUAAACCUUCGCGGGUGGGCUUUACUUGUGUACUUUUCGCACUGUCUGCUGUUAAGAAGAAUAAUCUGGAUUUUUGGGCUGAGCGUCGGUAUAUUUGCUUUGAUA
Molecule: long non-coding RNA, 4629 nt
Organism: Triticum aestivum (bread wheat)
Lineage: Eukaryota; Viridiplantae; Streptophyta; Magnoliopsida; Poales; Poaceae
Exons: 5
Source: RefSeq, a predicted model, not a curated record